AACAGGAUUAGAUACCCUGGUAGUCCACGCUGUAAACGAUGUCGAUUUGGAGGUUGUGCCCUUGAGGCGUGGCUUCCGGAGCUAACGCGUUAAAUCGACCGCCUGGGGAGUACGGCCGCAAGGUUAAAACUCAAAUGAAUUGACGGGGGCCCGCACAAGCGGUGGAGCAUGUGGUUUAAUUCGAUGCAACGCGAAGAACCUUACCUACUCUUGACAUCCAGAGAACUUUCCAGAGAUGGAUUGGUGCCUUCGGGAACUCUGAGACAGGUGCUGCAUGGCUGUCGUCAGCUCGUGUUGUGAAAUGUUGGGUUAAGUCCCGCAACGAGCGCAACCCUUAUCCUUUGUUGCCAGCGGUUCGGCCGGGAACUCAAAGGAGACUGCCAGUGAUAAACUGGAGGAAGGUGGGGAUGACGUCAAGUCAUCAUGGCCCUUACGAGUAGGGCUACACACGUGCUACAAUGGCGUAUACAAAGAGAAGCGACCUCGCGAGAGCAAGCGGACCUCAUAAAGUACGUCGUAGUCCGGAUUGGAGUCUGCAACUCGACUCCAUGAAGUCGGAAUCGCUAGUAAUCGUAGAUCAGAAUGCUACGGUGAAUACGUUCCCGGGCCUUGUACACACCGCCCGUCACACCAUGGGAGUGGGUUGCAAAAGAAGUAGGUAGCUUAACCUUCGGGAGGGCGCUUACCACUUUUGUGAUUCAUGACUGGGGUGAAGUCGUAA
This 721-nucleotide ribosomal RNA is filed under the name uncultured Serratia sp. RNAcentral describes it as "bacterial SSU rRNA". It matches the Rfam family "Bacterial small subunit ribosomal RNA", at positions 771 to 1491 of the family's 1533-position model. The record is from RNAcentral. Lineage: Bacteria; Pseudomonadati; Pseudomonadota; Gammaproteobacteria; Enterobacterales; Yersiniaceae.